GUUUAAUACAUCUUUAACAGGGUAUCAGGAAAUAUUAACAGACCCUAGCUAUGCCGGACAGUUUGUCUUAAUGACAAAUCCUCAUAUUGGGAACACUGGUGUAAAUCCUGAUGAUGAAGAAUCAAGUCGCUGUUUUCUUGCUGGUUUAGUAAUUCGAAGCUUAAGCAUAUGUACUUCAAAUUGGCGAUGCAUAGAGUCACUUGAUGAUUACUUGGCUAAAAGGAACAUCAUGGCUAUAUAUGAUGUGGACACACGUGCAAUAACACGAAGGUUAAGACAAGAUGGAAGUCUUAUCGGUGUCUUAAGCACUGAAGAAUCUCAAACAGAUGAAACACUACUGGAAUUGGCACGCAAGUGGAAAAUCACUGGUGUUGAUUUGAUUAGCGGUGUCUCUUGCAAGGCACCGUAUGACUGGCAAGAGAAAACAGACACCGAAUGGGAAUUUAAUGAAGAAUCACAGAUUCCUGAAGAUUUUCAUGUUGUUGCAUAUGAUUUUG
RNAcentral lists this unclassified non-coding RNA (497 nucleotides) under Hevea brasiliensis (rubber tree). Lineage: Eukaryota; Viridiplantae; Streptophyta; Magnoliopsida; Malpighiales; Euphorbiaceae. The record is from RNAcentral.